Molecule: unclassified non-coding RNA, 1296 nt
Filed under: Hevea brasiliensis (rubber tree)
Lineage: Eukaryota; Viridiplantae; Streptophyta; Magnoliopsida; Malpighiales; Euphorbiaceae
Source: RNAcentral
GGAACAUAAAACGGUUCCAUGUUGCUUUUCUGUCCACAUGUGCAAUAUAAAAAGGACAGGAAAAUGAAAUAAAAGAGAAACUUACCUCCGCAAAAUUUAGUACUAAUAGGUCAAGCAAGAUAUCAAGUUUUUCAUUUUUUCCCAAGAAUGAGUAUUUUCUAGACGGUUCCAAAUCAAUUCUCAUUUCACAUAAUCUAUACAACGACAUACGGAAAACUUCAUGAAUACUCAUCCAAACCCUUGCUUUAUGUUUUAGUACUGUGCUUCUUCAAAACAAGCCUUUUAUUCAAUGAAAGGUAAGGGAACACAGAGUUAAAAUUUGUAAACCAUGUUCUCUGUAAAGCCCACAUCCUUGAGUAGUCCAGUUAGCUCGCCUUGCUCACGAGGAUUUGGCUUUUCCCCAGAUAAAUGUCUUAUCAUCCCAGGAGGACCACAUACAAGAAUAAGUGUAUCAUCACCAGGCCGAGGUAAUCCUUUCACAAUCAUGUUCUUUGAUACGUAACCUAUGCCGCCUCUCCAAUCAUUGGUUGGAUUGUCUACAGUGUAAAACACCUUGAGAUUCGGAUGGGUGGCUGCAAGUACAUCAAGUUUCUUCUUUAGCAGUAUGUCAUCAGGUGACAAAUUAGCAUAAACCAAUGAGACCUGAGUAUUAUCAUCAGGAUUCUUAAGAAUGGCCUCUAUCACCUGGAGCAUAGGAGUGAUGCCACUGCCCCCCGCAAUCAUGCCUAUAUGUUUCUUCAUGUUUGAACUGUAACGCAAUUUCUCAAUGGGCCCUUUUACUUGAAGUAUAUCCCCCGGCUUCAGUUUUGCAAAAUGCUGGCUCAUUUUCCCUUCUGGAUAAACCUUAAUUAACAAAUCAAAGUAUCCCUUGGCUUCUGGAUCAGAUAUAGGAGUGUAAGGCCGAAUGGCAUAUUUUGGUUUUCCUUCAGCAUUUUCUCCCAUUGGUGCCCUCGUAAGAAUGCAAGAUGCAAUAUCAAGACCUAACUUUGAAGAAGGAUCAAAUGAAAACCUGAAUAGAUGACUAUUGUGGCUAACUGGAGCUCGAUCUUGCAGCUUAAAUUCAAUCCAUUUAUCAGGAUUUAGAGCAACUUUUUUACCCGAAUCUUCACUGAUUUGCUCCAAGUACACCAAAUUCGCAGAAGAAUGGCAGUAAUAAUAAGAGACGCAUCCAGCAACGGCUGCAAUAGCUCCAAAGGGGAAGCGAGGAUCAGCAAAAUUUGACUUGGAAUCGCCUCGAAAUGCUAUGGGUGCAGCCUUGGCUAGCUUCCUCAACAACGCUGCCAUUUUCACUCUCUC